UUGGGAAUCUUCGGCAAUGGACGAAAGUCUGACCGAGCAACGCCGCGUGAGUGAAGAAGGUUUUCGGAUCGUAAAACUCUGUUGUUAGAGAAGAACAAGGACGUUAGUAACUGAACGUCCCCUGACGGUAUCUAACCAGAAAGCCACGGCUAACUACGUGCCAGCAGCCGCGGUAAUACGUAGGUGGCAAGCGUUGUCCGGAUUUAUUGGGCGUAAAGCGAGCGCAGGCGGUUUCUUAAGUCUGAUGUGAAAGCCCCCGGCUCAACCGGGGAGGGUCAUUGGAAACUGGGAGACUUGAGUGCAGAAGAGGAGAGUGGAAUUCCAUGUGUAGCGGUGAAAGGCGUAGAUAUAUGGAGGAACACCAGUGGCGAAGGCGGCUCUAUGGUCUGUAACUGACGCAGAGGCUCGAAAGCGUGGGGAGCAAACAGG
RNAcentral lists this ribosomal RNA (429 nucleotides) under Gemmatimonadota bacterium. RNAcentral's name for it is "Gemmatimonadetes bacterium partial 16S ribosomal RNA". It matches the Rfam family "Bacterial small subunit ribosomal RNA", at positions 355 to 776 of the family's 1533-position model. Lineage: Bacteria; Pseudomonadati; Gemmatimonadota. The record is from RNAcentral.